GAUGAACGCUGGCGGCGUGCCUAAUACAUGCAAGUCGAGCGAACAGACGAGGAGCUUGCUCCUCUGACGUUAGCGGCGGACGGGUGAGUAACACGUGGAUAACCUACCUAUAAGACUGGGAUAAUUUCGGGAAACCGGAGCUAAUACCGGAUAACAUGUUGAGCCGCAUGGUUCAACAGUGAAAGACGGUCUUGCUGUCACUUAUAGAUGGAUCCGCGCCGCAUUAGCUAGUUGGUAAGGUAACGGCUUACCAAGGCAACGAUGCGUAGCCGACCUGAGAGGGUGAUCGGCCACACUGGAACUGAGACACGGUCCAGACUCCUACGGGAGGCAGCAGUAGGGAAUCUUCCGCAAUGGGCGAAAGCCUGACGGAGCAACGCCGCGUGAGUGAAGAAGGUCUUCGGAUCGUAAAGCUCUGUUAUUAGGGAAGAACAAAUGUGUAAGUAACUAUGCACGUCUUGACGGUACCUAAACAGAAAGCCACGGCUAACUACGUG
Molecule: ribosomal RNA, 497 nt
Filed under: uncultured bacterium
Lineage: Bacteria
Description: partial 16S ribosomal RNA
Rfam family: Bacterial small subunit ribosomal RNA
Source: RNAcentral